Molecule: ribosomal RNA, 394 nt
Filed under: uncultured bacterium
Lineage: Bacteria
Description: partial 16S ribosomal RNA
Rfam family: Bacterial small subunit ribosomal RNA
Source: RNAcentral
AUACGUAGGGGGCUAGCGUUAUCCGGAAUUACUGGGCGUAAAGGGUGCGUAGGUGGUUUCUUAAGUCAGAAGUGAAAGGCUACGGCUCAACCGUAGUAAGCUUUUGAAACUAAGAGACUUGAGUGCAGGAGAGGAGAGUAGAAUUCCUAGUGUAGCGGUGAAAUGCGUAGAUAUUAGGAGGAAUACCAGUUGCGAAGGCGGCUCUCUGGACUGUAACUGACACUGAGGCACGAAAGCGUGGGGAGCAAACAGGAUUAGAUACCCUGGUAGUCCACGCCGUAAACGAUGAGUACUAGCUGUCGGGGGUUACCCCCCUCGGUGGCGCAGCUAACGCAUUAAGUACUCCGUCUGGGAAGUACGCUCGCAAGAGUGAAACUCAAAUGAAUUGGCGGGG